AAUGAACGCUGGCGGCAUGCCUUACACAUGCAAGUCGAACGGCAGCAUGACCUAGCUUGCUAGGUUGAUGGCGAGUGGCGAACGGGUGAGUAAUGCAUCGGAACGUGCCUUUUAGUGGGGGAUAACGUAGCGAAAGUUACGCUAAUACCGCAUAUUCUCUGAGGAGGAAAGCAGGGGGCCUUCGGGCCUUGCGCUAGAAGAGCGGCCGAUGUCGGAUUAGCUAGUUGGUGAGGUAAAGGCUCACCAAGGCAACGAUCCGUAGCGGGUCUGAGAGGAUGAUCCGCCACACUGGGACUGAGACACGGCCCAGACUCCUACGGGAGGCAGCAGUGGGGAAUUUUGGACAAUGGGCGCAAGCCUGAUCCAGCCAUGCCGCGUGAGUGAAGAAGGCCUUCGGGUUGUAAAGCUCUUUCGGCUGGGAAGAAAUCGCACUCUCUAAUACAGGGUGUGGAUGACGGUACCAGCAUAAGAAGCACCGGCUAACUACGU
This 489-nucleotide ribosomal RNA is filed under the name uncultured bacterium. RNAcentral describes it as "partial 16S ribosomal RNA". It matches the Rfam family "Bacterial small subunit ribosomal RNA", at positions 29 to 506 of the family's 1533-position model. The record is from RNAcentral.